CUGGUUUCUUGGUGUUGGAGGAGAGAGGAGCUUGUGCAGCCCAGUCUGGUGUGGUGUGCCGCCUCUUCUUGGUUCAGCCUGAAGAUUCAGGCCCACUCACUUCUAAAGAUUAUUGCAGUGAUGGCAAAUCUUUCAGAGAUGGAGUGCCCACACUGCCUCAUGUGAGUCCCAUGCUUUACUCCAGACAUGGAAGGGAGGAGGCCUUUCCAUUGGACUGCUGGACAGAGAGGUUUAGACCUGCAAGAGGCAUCAUUAUAUAGAGCCAAAUACCUCAUUUGAAGGUGAACAUUUUAUGUCCAAAGGA
This 304-nucleotide long non-coding RNA is filed under the name Monodelphis domestica (gray short-tailed opossum). RNAcentral's name for it is "lncRNA (ENSMODG00000044208.1)". The record is from RNAcentral. Lineage: Eukaryota; Metazoa; Chordata; Mammalia; Didelphimorphia; Didelphidae.